This 355-nucleotide unclassified non-coding RNA is filed under the name soil metagenome. Its description in RNAcentral is "partial contains 5.8S ribosomal RNA, internal transcribed spacer 2, and large subunit ribosomal RNA". The stretch from base 1 to 120 matches the Rfam family "5.8S ribosomal RNA", at positions 35 to 154 of the family's 154-position model. The record is from RNAcentral.
GAUGAAGAACGUAGCGAAAUGCGAUAAGUAAUGUGAAUUGCAGAAUUCAGUGAAUCAUCGAAUCUUUGAACGCACAUUGCGCCCAUUAGUAUUCUAGUGGGCAUGCCUGUUCGAGCGUCAUUAAGUCCACUUAAGCCCUGCUUAGUGUUGGGAGACUGCUCCAGCGGUGCUACCCUGUAGCUACCCUGCAGCUCCUCAAAGACAGCGGCGGAGUUGUGGUAUCAUCUGAGCUUAGUAACUUGUUCUAGCUUUCGAGUACACCACUUCCCCUGCCGUAAAACCCUUAAUUUUUAAUGGUUGACCUCGGAUCAGGUAGGAAUACCCGCUGAACUUAAGCAUAUCAAUAAGCGGAGGA